CUCCUUUAAGUCGAACCGUGUUCAGUUAAAGACGAGAAGUUGAACUUGAAGAGAAUACUUCUAAUAUUAUCAUGUAGAUAUGUCCCACUACGUCAUAGCAGUCCAUUGUGGUGCUGGAUACCACUCAACACAGAAAGAGGAUGCUUACAAAACACUUUGUAAAACAGCAUGCAUAAAGGUCAGUCGUAUGUUGGAGAAGAAUAUAGAUGCUGUGGAGAGUGUGACAGAGGCUGUCAGAUAUUUGGAGAAUUCAGAGUUGACUAAUGCAGGUGUAGGAUCUAACCUCAACAUCAGAGGCUCCGUGGAGUGUGAUGCUGCCAUUAUGGAAGGGAAGCAACUCAUGUUUGGAGCCGUUGGGGCCAUUUCUGGUGUCCAGAACCCAGUGACUGUGUCAGCCAAACUCUUGACCAGACAACUAGGGAAGAAGUUAUCCCUGGGGAGACUUCAUCCAAGUGUAAUUGUAGGGGAAGGGGCUAACAAGUGGGCUAGAGAAAAUGGACUAUACACAGUGGACACAGGAUGCUUAGUAACGGAUUAUUCCCGAAAAACUUUUAACAGUCACAAGACAAAGCUCGAUAUUCUGAAUGAAAAAAUCAACAGCAAGAAGAGAAAAUUCACAGUACAGAGUCAGGAGAAAAGUGAGGAAAGCUGUGCUGUACUGGAAACAGAAGAGGGAAUUCAAGAUACUGUGGGGGCAAUUGUCAUGGAUACUGCCGGUAACAUCGCGUCUGCAGUGUCUAGUGGUGGGAUUUCGCUUAAGCAACCAGGGAGACUGGGCCCAGCAGCCACAUAUGGAGCUGGUUGCUGGGCUUACAACCAGAGACCAGGAAAACCAGGGGUGGGAACCGUCACUUCAGGAAGUGGUGAACACAUCAUGAAGACAUUGUUGGCCAGAGAGAGUGCAUUGUCAAUUCAGAGGGAGAAUAAUGUUAGUCUUGGACUGUCCAACAGCUUUAAAGAAUCCUUCCUAGAAACUAAACUGGAGGAUCCAAUUAUUUUUCUUCAAGUUGUGGUGAAUGGAAGAACGAUGGAGGGUGUCAAAUACCUUGUGCUCUUUUCUCCAAGAUGGCAAAUUAAAGAGACUUUAAACUUUUCACAAUACUUCAUUGCCAUUUGUAGAUAUACAUAUUAUCAUGACAGGAUGAUCCAAUUAUUUUUCUAUGAGUUAUGGUGGAUGCAAAAGGAACGGUGAAUGUAAAACAAUUUAAUAUUGUGAAUGCUUCUCCUACAAAUGGCUCAUGGAAUACUGCAUAAAUUUGAAACUUUUUAUAUACAAUCAUGAUUAUUCAACAAGGCAUAUUAUUAUGACAUUGGUCAUUAAAUCUUCCUGUACGCACAAAGUGCAGUUCAUAAUGUCUUUGUUACAGCUGUAAGUUUUCUCCAGUUAUGCUGUGUAUUAAGGGUAUGAGACUUAACUUGGAGCACGUUCAAUUUGUAAAGUUGGGAAGACAUUUGUUUUUAUUAAAAACACUCUAAUUAAUUACAGCAUCGGUCUGUGAGCUUGUUGACAUGUGUAAUACCCAAUUACCUGUCGUCAUCUCUGUCUGUUACACUUUUAAAUUCCAGAAACACUGGACUAAACUUGAAUAAAAUUCUUGGGUAAAGGGGAUUUAAAAAUUGUUAAAAUGCUCCUUAUACAAUGGAAGAUAACGCAAAUCGGAGAAAAUACAAAAUAAAGUUAGUUAAAUCAUGAAAUGGGGAUACAGAGCGAAAAAAAAAAACCCAUUUAAUUUACAUGGAAGCUUUCUGAUAUAGAGCACAGUAAAGUUUGUGAAAAUGAUGGCCAUAAAAGUGUGGUCACAAUAGGGCAAACCAUAUUUACAUGUCUUUGAAUAGAAAAUAAUCUUUAAAAUUUAAUUUUUGUAUCAAGAACCACUGGGCCACUAAGUUUGAACUUGCAUAGAAGAUACCUGACAUAAUGCAAAAUCACGUGUGUAACAGUCAUGACACUUGGAGCUCAGAUGCAGACAUUAUCAAAGAAACUAUUUUUACAUUGGUUUUAACUGUAUUAUGAAAACCUUUUUUCUUAAGAACCUCUGAGCCAGAAGUAUUUCAAUGUACCUGAACCUCCCCAACAUAGUGCAGAAUCAAGUUUCUUAAAAUCUGACAUGGCUCCUGAAAAGUUAAUGGAAUAACAAUGGGAAAUUCAUUUUCCAUGUGUUAAAGUGACUCAGAAUCAGAAUUUUUGGAAGGAGAGAAGGAGAAGUUAGCUGGUGUGCUGGCUCUGGGACAGAAUGAGGAUAAAACAGUGGAGGUAUUGUGGGGUCACACAACAAACAGUAUGUGCAUAGGGUAUAUGUCCCCCACCCUGAAGAGACCCAAGGUUGUGAUGUCCAGACUGCCAGAAGGUGGAAUCCCUGGACAAUCUUUCACGAUGUCUGGUGUGUCUGUAUGAGGGGACAUACGAGGGCUGUUCGAUAUGUAGACGUCUGAGGCACUGACUGAUGGCUGAGCUAAUGGCUUGUUGGGACUUGUAACGACGACCAGAUAAUAACUUCUUAAAUUUUGGAAAAAGGAAAAAGUCGCAUGAGGCUAGAUCUAGAGAGUAUGGUGGGUGUAGCAAGACGGUAACCUUCUCCGACUUCAAAAAUUGCUUCACAAGCUCAGAUGUAUGUGAUGGAGCAUUAUCAUGAAGUAGACGAACAUGCCUAAAUCCUGACACAAGGCGUUGUUUAUGAUAAUAUUUCUUGAGCUUUUUUAGUAUAACAUCUCAGUAAUACCGACCUGUAACACUUUUGCCCUUUAAGCACUGGGAUUUGUACAGUUAUACCAUCACAUGAGAAGAAUAUGCAAUAAAGAACCUUCUUUGUGCUUAUGGUUCAUUUGGCAACUACAGGCCUUCUACCGUGUUUAAUUAGCCAUAUUUUGUUUCCAAUUUUUCAUACUGGUUUGAAAUAGUGAACCCAUGUUUCGUCAACAAUAACAAUGUUUGCAAAUUGUCUUUGAUUGAAUUUGGGAAACCUUUUGAGCAAUAGCUUAGCGGUUUGUACUCGUACCUGUUUUUGGUCAUCUAUCAAUAUAAUGCGGUAUCCAUCUGGCAGAAAUCUUUCGUACUUUCAAAAUACGCUUCAAAGUGAAAUGCAGCUAAGAUAGCAAUAUGCCAACAGCUUUGGCAAUAUCACGAAUCGUGUAUCUGCCAUCCCUUUCAAAUAUUUCCCUGACUUUUGAGACAUUUGCCUUGCCUGUAAUAGUCAAAGGUCGGUCAGAUUUUCCUGCAUCUCUGAUGGACUCUGUGCCAGUCAGAAAUUUCUUUCUCCACCUAUGAAUUGUCUCAUAAGAUACCUUAUCAGACCUAUAAACUUCCCCCAAUUCAGUAAAAAUCUGCAUUACUGAAUGACGGAGUUUUGUGCAAAUUUUUAUAUACGCUCUAAUUUCUUCAAUAUUCUCAAACCAUUUCCCAACCAUUUGUACAACAGAUGUCAACAACUGGCUCUAUUGAAAUGGCUAUAACUUUAAAACUAUAUGGAGCUGAAGGCUUGUGUUUACACCGUUGGAAAUAUAUCGAAUAGAGCUAUUCAAGAGUAUCAUCAUCGACGAAAUCGUGCAAAGCAUUAUUGCACUGUGGUACAAUACACAUUAUAUAUCGAACAGCCCUUGGAUAUGUAGUGUACAUACAAAACACUGAGUUUUCUCCAUGAGAUGUGGUCCUUCAAAGUCAAUCAGAGGCAGCUUAAUAGCAAAGUCAAUCAGAGGCAGCUUAAUAGCAAUUUGAGCUCAGAAUGGUGUAGACUAAAAUACAGAGCUGCUUUUGAUCAGACUGUGAGGAAAGAUUCAGAACACAAUCAUGUCACAAGCUUAUCACUAUGGCUGUACAGACAGAGAAAGCAAGUGCUAUUGAUCGAACAGUGAGAUAACAUUCAGAACACAAUCAAGUCACAAACACAUCACUGUGACAGUAAAGACAGAAAAUCCAGGUGUUAUUGAUUAGAGGAUUAGAGAGUGAGAAAACAUUCAGAACACAAUCAAGUCACAAACACAUCACUGUGAGAUGUGGUCCUUCAAAGUCAAUGAUGGUGAAGAAACCUACUGAGAAUCCAGGUGUUAUUAAAUGAACAAUUACAGUUUACAUGUUCAUUCAUCAGAGAAAUGAUUAAAGUCCCAGAAUUAAAAUAA
This is an RNA transcript of Ostrea edulis (European flat oyster), 4113 nucleotides long. It is a transcript of the gene named threonine aspartase 1-like, with no coding region annotated. NCBI's taxonomy places the organism in Eukaryota, Metazoa, Mollusca, Bivalvia, Ostreida, Ostreidae. The record is from RefSeq and is a predicted model, not a curated record. The transcript has 15 exons.